This is a long non-coding RNA of Nerophis ophidion (straightnose pipefish), 251 nucleotides long. RefSeq lists it as uncharacterized. Lineage: Eukaryota; Metazoa; Chordata; Actinopteri; Syngnathiformes; Syngnathidae. The record is from RefSeq and is a predicted model, not a curated record. The transcript is spliced from 3 exons.
GUCCAGGUCAGGCCACGUCCAAAAGAGAACUUUGAGCAUCCCCAAUGGUAAUGAAAUAGAAGACUUUUGAAAAACACACGUUCAGCUCUCAGCUGUGUCUGACGGCCGUCAGCUGCAACACCGAGAUCUGGAGCCAUCUUUGAGGAACUACACUUGAUGUAUCUUCACUGAAUGUGAAGAAAUGAGCACAUUACUGUAACGACGGGGUCGCAUUUUACUGUGUGGAGUGUUCUCCCAAGAUGCAGCAGGAA